Molecule: long non-coding RNA, 4109 nt
Organism: Acinonyx jubatus (cheetah)
Lineage: Eukaryota; Metazoa; Chordata; Mammalia; Carnivora; Felidae
Exons: 4
Source: RefSeq, a predicted model, not a curated record
GGCUGGCUCAGGAUGAGAAAGGGAUCCGGAAGGGUGGAAAGGAAAGGAGGGCUAGGGAGUCAUCUUUGUCCCUUUUCCGGAACGGAACGCCGCUUUGAGGGAAAAGCGCCUCGCCCUGAAAAUACAAACCCAGAGCCCAGGCAGCGGGUCGUCGUGGGGCCAGCACCCCUCGGGGCUCCGGUCGUGUCCUGAGGCAUUCGGGACUGUCCGGACCCCCUGGGCCCUUUUUUCAAGAGUUGGCAGUGAUCUGGCAUAUUUAGGGACAAUACUUGUGAUUUCCGGGGCUCAGCACCUGCUCUUGGAUCUUCUCAAGGCCUGCUAGAUUUCAGAAUCUCAAAGGUUUGGCCACCGCACUCCCAACCCCUAAGGAAAGGAUGGGAGAUGAAUUAUUAAAGGACACCGGGGCCAUUAGCAUAUCGGGCCUCACCUCUCUGGGGCCCUUGCCCUUGAGCAACUGAAUGUUUUAUUGAAGAGGAAAAAACAUGCACGAAAAAGAUAAAACCAUUUACAAACUGUUUCCAAACUUACAAUUAACAAAUGAAGAAGGAAAUAAAUGGAAACAUCAUUACCUUUACACUGAGGAGGGUCACUACUCCACUUGUUAUUCCCAACACAAAUAAGUUUGCUGUCUCCAACAAGUGAAAAUUCGUCUGAUCCUUGUGAAGGAUUACAACUGUUUACCCUUGAGCUUCAUAGUUUCGAAUUUUGGUGGUUCACCACAGGCAUCUAGUGAUAAGACAACGAGAAUAUGAAAAUGAAGUAUUUAUCUCUUUCACCAGCAAGGCUCUGGUCUGGCACCAGAGAACUGUUUCUCCCUGAUCAGCUACUGUUUCUUUUCAGACCCUACUAAAAAAACUCAGAAGAUUUUUCUGCAGCAGCCUGGUUUCAAGGUCAAUGGAUGAACAAGCGAGGCCAUACAUUCCUUACCUGAGAUAAGGAGUCCAAGACCCAAUCCAGGUUAUACUGGCUCUCAGAGCAGACCCAUAGCCCCUUCUCCUUGUCCUAAGAUAACUGCAUGAGGCCGGGGUGCUAAAUUUUGCCUCCUUCUGAUGCUAAGUAUCCACCCCAAAGGGAACGUGGGAUAUAUGUUUGCGGUCACUGAAUGCACAUGCUCUACCUCUCCUCAUGAUUAGUUGUAAAUUUCCCCACUGUUUUAUCAAUAUGUAUAUAAUCCCAACCCUAUGAUUAUUAAAGAAAAAAAACUUGUUCUUGCCUCCCUCAGAGAGGGGGCUUUGGGGCUUGUUCUCCCAUCCCCUCCUUGGGUUGCGUCUCAAAUAAACUUUCUUCGCUACAUAUCCGAUAGCUUUGUGCUGGGCUUUGCUGCAUAUCAGGCAGAUGAACUUGUCUUUGGUUCAAUCCCCACAUGCUCCACUUGGAAAGUGUCAAGCUAUCUCAAAUAACAUUAUGAAGGCAGAGUGUGGCCUCUUGACUCUUCAGCCUCACGUAUGCCCAGCAAACAAGAUAGAGGGUUUUCACAACUGAAAUUCCUGUUCCAUCUCUCUAAUUCUGCCUUUCCUUUGAGCUCAAAUCACCACCCUGUCUUAUCUACAUUGCCACUAGCAUUUCUGAAUGCCACCAGCACUCCAGACUUCCCAUGCAUCAUUUAACUUUUCGACCAGAGAUUCCCAGUCCCUCCCGCCCACUCAUCCCUCAGCUUCCGCUGAGAUGCCACUUCUUAUGGCUCUUGACAUCUCUCAUCGAAAAACUGGGUUAGGUAUCCUCAUGAUGUCCCAUUUACCUCUUCCAGAGAACACUUCAAAGUGUUAGUCUUUAUUGUUCAUACUCCCUAUGAGACAGUCACCUUCUGAGGACCAUGUGUGUUUCAUCACUGCACUUCCAAUGCCUGGUGCCAGAGCUGAAUGAGCACUGUCAUCAGUUCCAUACGCUCUCAGAUCAAAACUCAAAUUCUUUUCUGCUCAGCUAACUUCUUCCGGAGAUAGCGGCAAAUUAUAGUUUUUUUUUCCCUGCUGUUUUACGCCUGUCUUCAAACUUUUUCCUUCGGUUUAACGACAACUAUUUCCCCUUGUCAGAGUAUUUAAUUUCUUUCAUGUCAAUCUAUCUAUGCUUUCUUGUUUUAUUAUGAACGCUUUCUCCCUUACAGCUAUUAUUAGAAACAGUAUUUUGACAUUACAGAAGGUGAACCCAAACACUGGGGAUUUUGUUUUCUCACAAAGUACAGUAAUGAAGGAUUCUGUAUCCUGUUUUCUCAAACAACAGUGGUGACACUAAUAAUUUUAGAAAUUGCAAACAUUCAACACUACUUGUGCAACCAUUAUUUUAAGAGCAUUUUAACUAACAAUCUUCAUACGCAUCCAAUGAGUUGGGUUCUAUCCACCCUCUCCCCACCCCACCCCAUAAGAUGAGCAAACUGAGGCAAGGGGAUUAAGUAAAUUACCCCCAAAAAUAUUCCAGCAGCGAGGCAGCCUGGUUCCACUACCAACACUUCUUCCCACCACAUUCGUCUGAAACCCUCCCGCGCUUACACCAACAAUCUACAAUGUGGUCCUCAAGAAAUGAUCUUCUACUGAGUCUAGAGAAAUUAAAGUAACUCUGGUUUAGAUUUGCCAUGUGCCAACUCAAACAAAAGGGCUCAAGGUGCCCUAAAAAGACAGAUGCUAACGUCAUGUCUGAAUUUUAAUGAUGGUGACUGUUCAUUCUUGACUAUCCUGUUGCUGUCACAGUGAUCAGCUCUGUGAUCCAGUCCUCUGCCUUUCUCUCGCCUCUGUGUCCUCCUGCUGCCACACCGGGUAGCUCCACAGUCCAUGGAUGCCCUAAGCCAUGUCACAUCGCUAAGCCUCUGAUCACACCGUUCCCUCUGCUCUGAACACCCUUCCUACCUGCUCACCCGCAAGCCCUGUUCAACUCUCGUCUCCUUACACUGGAUCCACUCAACUGCUCCUCCAGCAAGCGUUUUCCACUUCCCCGGGGAGGCAGGGCCCCUUCCCCUUCCCUUGCACCGUCCUUUGCAUGGACCUCUCAAGUCACUAUCACAUGUUUUUGUGUUUAACAGUUCCCAUGGCUGGCUCCAUUCAUCCAUGCAGCCACAACACCAAGCACAGCAUGUCCCUCAGAGUAGCGAGGCAAAACAACAUGGCACUCAAAGGACCACUGGUGUUAAACAGAACACCAUGGGGAAGAAUACGCUGUCAGGCAUCUGACAUUGAAACUAACCAUCUUUAAGCUUGAAGCACUGGAGAAAGAUCUGGCCAUGUCAUUUCUUCUGUUGCCUAUCUCCCAGUAUUCUGUAACCUAGCAACUGACCAGAAGGACUGUCCUCUGGGUAUUACAAUACGUAGAGUAAAGAAACUAAGAAACUAGCAUGUAAGCACUUACAGAUCUUGGCUUCUUUAAUUAGAGAGAAAGAAAAGACCUAACGAUAUGACCCACAACAGGAGAUAGUGGGUUUUAUACAAACCAGCAGACCCUUUGGAGAAGAAUGAGACUGGUCCCGAAACUGGACAAAUGUUCCCUUCUGCCAUCUCGUGCAGCUGGCAACUAACUACCUCUGAGGUGGUGGGCUUCCGGGCACAACACUGUCUGCCUACACACCUUCUCCUGAGAGGAUGAGAUGCAUCAAAACUGAUCUGUGUACUCCCUUCCCAUUCUUUCCCUGCCCAACGUAAUGAGGGCUCAUUUGUACUUUCCCUAAUUUCAUACCUGUCCUGAUUUUACCUUUAAAAAAAAUUUUUUUUUUAAUCUUUAUUUUUGAGAGACAGAGUGCAAAUAGGGGAGGGGCAGAGAGUCAGGGAGACACAGAAUCGGAAGCAGGCUCCAGGCUCCGAGCCAUCAGCACAGAGCCCGACACAGGACUCAAACUCACGAAUCGUAAGAUCAUGACCUGAGCUGAAGUCGGACACUCAACCGACUGGGCCACCCAGGCACCCCAUGAUUUUACCUUUGAACCUUACACUUGGCUUUGAUUUCCCUUUUCUUCGUUUUAAAGUCUUAUUCCCUUCCAUGUUGCACUCUGUUCAUUUCAGUUGUCUCUUUCCUCUAUUCCAAAUGACAUUCAGAGUCUCCUUCCCCUUUUAGCUAUAAGGCUAAUCUAACCUUGAUCCUUUUUAAAAACUUCUUUUUCUUUUCUUUUUACCACCACUGGCCCCUCUCCA